GAGCACGCGCGUGUGGCAUAUCAAUAAGCGGAGGAAAAGAAACUAACAAGGAUUCCCUUAGUGACGGCGAGUGAAGCGGGAAGAGCUCAAAUUUGAAAUCUUCAAGGUUCUACCUUGACGAAUUGUAGUUUAUAGAAGUGUUUUCUGUUAGUGGAGUGGCAAAAGUUCUUUGGAAUAGGACAUCAUAGAGGGUGAGAAUCCCGUAUUUGGUCAUUCUUUCUAGCUUUGUGAUACACUUUCAACGAGUCGGAUUGUUUGGGAAUGCAGUCCAAAAUGGGUGGUAAAUUUCAUCUAAAGCUAAAUAUUGGCGAGAGACCGAUAGCGAACAAGUACCGUGAGGGAAAGAUGAAAAGAACUUUGAAAAGAGAGUUAAACAGUACGUGAAAUUGUCAAAAGGGAAGCGUUUGACACCAGUGUUGUUUUUCCGAAAAUCAAUUACGAAUGUUUUAUUUUUGAGAAGUUAUGACUUCAUCGGCUUGCUUCUUUCUUUACUGAAACUUUCUUAAUGCACUUUUCGGUUAACAAGUCAACAUCAAUUUCUUUUGUUGUAAAAGGGUAUGAGGAAGGUGGCUUUCUUUUCGGAGAAAGUGUUUAUAGCCUUGUACCUCUGCAAUCGGAGAGAUUGAGGUCUGCAGCGUAGAUCCUUCGGGAUUAGAUACAUUUGUGCUAAGUUAUAGCUUUUCAUAGACAACUUGUUGACUAUGUUAGUCUUGUAGAUUACUCGCAUAUGCUAUUUUACCUACGCUUAGGAUGUUGAGUAGCGACAUACGCAC
This 773-nucleotide ribosomal RNA is filed under the name uncultured Neocallimastigales. RNAcentral's name for it is "partial large subunit ribosomal RNA". It matches the Rfam family "Eukaryotic large subunit ribosomal RNA", at positions 19 to 649 of the family's 3401-position model. Lineage: Eukaryota; Fungi; Neocallimastigomycota; Neocallimastigomycetes; Neocallimastigales. The record is from RNAcentral.